GCGGCCGCAGCUCCCCGCCCGGGACCGCGCACAAAGGCCUGAGGUCCGGGCCGCACUCACCGAAGUCCAGGAACUGCUUCAUGGAGAGCGGGGACGGCGAGAAGCGCGCGUAGAAGUCCACCUGGCCCGGAACGCCGCGCUCGGACGCCGGGCUGGAGUCCGAGUCCGAGCUGAAGCUGCGGCUGGGGCCGGCGGCGCGCAGCCCCGGGCCCGGGCCGGCCAAGGCGGCUCCGCGAAGCAGCCGCGCCAGCCUCAUGCCGAGUCCCGCUAGAGAAGCCACAGCCCGGGCUCCAGGUUUCCCCGCUCCUCUGCCGAGUGGGUCAGAGAGCUUCAGGAGUCCCCGCUUGCCAAACAGUGGUACGUAAAUACGAAUGCUGAACACUGGGACGUGUGGCCCUAAAUAGUAUCACCGCGACGGCGGCCCCAGGAGAAGAGAUGUACUGACUGUGCCUUUGAGUGAG
This 461-nucleotide non-coding RNA is filed under the name Pongo abelii (Sumatran orangutan). Lineage: Eukaryota; Metazoa; Chordata; Mammalia; Primates; Hominidae. The record is from RNAcentral.